RNAcentral lists this ribosomal RNA (362 nucleotides) under uncultured cyanobacterium. RNAcentral's name for it is "bacterial SSU rRNA". It matches the Rfam family "Bacterial small subunit ribosomal RNA", at positions 408 to 784 of the family's 1533-position model. The record is from RNAcentral. Lineage: Bacteria; Bacillati; Cyanobacteriota.
AGGAAGGCUCUUGGGUUGUAAACCUCUUUUCUCAGGGAAGAACAAAAUGACGGUACCUGAGGAAUAAGCAUCGGCUAACUCCGUGCCAGCAGCCGCGGUAAUACGGAGGAUGCAAGCGUUAUCCGGAAUGAUUGGGCGUAAAGCGUCCGCAGGUGGCAUUGAAAGUCUGCUGUCAAAGAGUCUGGCUCAACCAGAUAAAGGCAGUGGAAACUACAAAGCUAGAGUACGUUCGGGGCAGAGGGAAUUCCUGGUGUAGCGGUGAAAUGCGUAGAGAUCAGGAAGAACACCGGUGGCGAAAGCGCUCUGCUAGGCCGUAACUGACACUGAGGGACGAAAGCUAGGGGAGCGAAUGGGAUUAGAUA